This 351-nucleotide ribosomal RNA is filed under the name Triticum aestivum (bread wheat). Its description in RNAcentral is "partial small subunit ribosomal RNA". Lineage: Eukaryota; Viridiplantae; Streptophyta; Magnoliopsida; Poales; Poaceae. The record is from RNAcentral.
AUGUCCCCGGACACGCCAUCGAACUCUAGAUCUGACACCCCCGCACGACAACGACGUCGAAGGAGGAAACCAAAACUGUCAGCCACCAACCAAAAACCUAGCACGGGAUGCACCAUCUUCCAGCUGUCACUUGCGCAGACAACCGUCUGCGCGUACUCCUGGACGAUAAAACCUCCCUGCUCCACCAUGACGUCGGAGACAACGCCACAGCAACGGGGACAGAGCAGAAGGAGAGACACACCUGAUGGAGUCCCCGCCGCCACCUCGCCGACACCAUCCAUGAACCCUAACACAGCCGAUCUGAAGGAUCGGCAAACACACGAUGCCAUCAACUCCGAGACGCCGCCAUGA